AUGCCCCAAGAGAAGCCAGCGGGAUGGCCAGGUCGAAGCCCCGGAAGGCGCUUACCUGUGCCGCGCCGCGAUCAGAGCCCGGGGCCAGGCCGGGACGCGCAGGUGCUUGGGGGCAUCCUGGCGACGGCCUGGGCGGGCCGGGCGUCCAUCGUGCCGGGCUGGCUGCGCUCUUCCCGCCGCUGGGGGCCGGGGAGGGGGCUCCCCUCGGCUCUGCGCCCGUCUCUUCUCCACCCGGCUGAGGACACAGCGGGUCCCGCGGCGGCGGCAGCAACAGGCACCGGCGGACUGUGGCGGCACCAGGAGCAGCAGCCGAAGAGGAGGAGGAGGAGGAGGAGGAGGAGGAAGAGGAGGAGGAGGUGUCUGCGCGCGGCUCUCGUUUCCUCCUCCCAGCCUGGGCGAGCGCGCGGGAGGCGAGGAGCGGACAGGAGCCGGGAUGUCCCUACUCGGUCCCCGGGGAGCUGCGAGGGGGACUCGGUGUCCUCCUCCUCCCCACUGCGCCGUGUGACUGUGCCCGGGCAGCACGGCCCGGACGGGCGAGUCACACGCGAGCAACAGCUGCUGCACUGCGGGUCCGCCGCGGCCUCCCUCCCCUCUUUGCCACCCCCCGCCCCCAAGCCCGCGGGCCAUCCUCAGCCAGUGUCUGUAGGGGAAAUGGGGGGAGGUACUUGGGCCGCCGCCCCAUCCAGGCCCCUGCGCAGGAUCUGGGCACAGCGUUUCCCUGGGGAGACGGGGGCGCGGGGCCCCGCGCGUGAUACAGGCCCUCGUGGCGGGAUGUGCAGUCGCACACCCUGUCCUUGGCGGCCUAUUUAUAGCAGGUGGCACUGCCCGCCGCUCGCUCGGCCUGAGUGGCUCUCAGCAGGUGGCACUGCCUGCCCGCUCUCCGCGCUCCUGAAGGAGCCUCGCUUCAUCUGCACCCUCCCCUUCUCCCUCCGAAACGGACGUGGUGGAAACUGCACACAACAUGGGAGGCGGAGGCCGGGGGACGACCAAGCCACCUGGUUCUCCCCCGCCUUACCCCUCACCCCUUCCUUGGAUGAUGGCAGGGGAUGA
This 1050-nucleotide long non-coding RNA is filed under the name Piliocolobus tephrosceles (Ugandan red Colobus). RNAcentral's name for it is "lncRNA (ENSPTEG00000022111.1)". Lineage: Eukaryota; Metazoa; Chordata; Mammalia; Primates; Cercopithecidae. The record is from RNAcentral.